This 685-nucleotide ribosomal RNA is filed under the name Klebsiella terrigena. RNAcentral's name for it is "bacterial SSU rRNA". It matches the Rfam family "Bacterial small subunit ribosomal RNA", at positions 747 to 1434 of the family's 1533-position model. Lineage: Bacteria; Pseudomonadati; Pseudomonadota; Gammaproteobacteria; Enterobacterales; Enterobacteriaceae. The record is from RNAcentral.
UCAGGUGCGAAAGCGUGGGGAGCAAACAGGAUUAGAUACCUGGUAGUCCACGCUGUAAACGAUGUCGACUUGGAGGUUGUUCCCUGAGGAGUGGCUUCCGGAGCUAACGCGUUAAGUCGACCGCCUGGGGAGUACGGCCGCAAGGUUAAAACUCAAAUGAAUUGACGGGGGCCCGCACAAGCGGUGGAGCAUGUGGUUUAAUUCGAUGCAACGCGAAGAACCUUACCUACUCUUGACAUCCAGAGAACUUAGCAGAGAUGCUUUGGUGCCUUCGGGAACUCUGAGACAGGUGCUGCAUGGCUGUCGUCAGCUCGUGUUGUGAAAUGUUGGGUUAAGUCCCGCAACGAGCGCAACCCUUAUCCUUUGUUGCCAGCGGUUCGGCCGGGAACUCAAAGGAGACUGCCAGUGAUAAACUGGAGGAAGGUGGGGAUGACGUCAAGUCAUCAUGGCCCUUACGAGUAGGGCUACACACGUGCUACAAUGGCAUAUACAAAGAGAAGCGACCUCGCGAGAGCAAGCGGACCUCAUAAAGUAUGUCGUAGUCCGGAUCGGAGUCUGCAACUCGACUCCGUGAAGUCGGAAUCGCUAGUAAUCGUGGAUCAGAAUGCCACGGUGAAUACGUUCCCGGGCCUUGUACACACCGCCCGUCACACCAUGGGAGUGGGUUGCAAAAGAAGUAGGUAGC